CAAUAGCGUAUAUUUAAGUUGUUGCAGUUAAAAAGCUCGUAGUUGGAUUUCGGAUGGGAUUUGCCGGUCCGUCGUUACGAUGUGCACUGGCCAGUCCGAUCUUGUUGUCGGGGACUAGCUCCUUGGAUUCACUUCCUGGGACUAGGAGCUGACGAGGUUACUUUGAGUAAAUUAGAGUGUUCAAAGCAAGCCUACGCUCUGAAUACAUUAGCAUGGAAUAACACGAUAGGACUCUGGCUUAUCUUGUUGGUCUGUGAGACCAGAGUAAUGAUUAAGAGGGACAGUCGGGGACAUUCGUAUUUCAUUGUCAGAGGUGAAAUUCUUGGAUUUAUGAAAGACGAACUUCUGCGAAAGCAUUUGUCAAGGAUGUUUNCAUUAA
RNAcentral lists this ribosomal RNA (379 nucleotides) under uncultured eukaryote. RNAcentral's name for it is "partial 18S ribosomal RNA". It matches the Rfam family "Eukaryotic small subunit ribosomal RNA", at positions 592 to 976 of the family's 1831-position model. The record is from RNAcentral.